AUUGAACGCUGGCGGCAUGCUUUACACAUGCAAGUCGAACGGCCGCGCGGGCUGCGGCCUGGCCGCGAGUGGCCGACGGGCGGGUAAGUCACACGUACGUGACCAGCCGAGGGGGAUAGCACAGCGACAGGAGACCUAAUAUCGCACACGACCAUAGGGUGAAAGGGGGGGACCAAAAGUGCACGCGGGUCUGGAUCGCACGACGUCGGAUUAGCUAGUUGGUUGGGUAACGGCUUACCAAGGCGACGAUCCGUAGCAGGUCUGAGAGGGCGACCAGCCACACUGGAACUGAGACACGGCCCAGACUCCUACGGGAGGCAGCAGUGGGGAAUUUUGGACAAUGGGGGCAAGCCUGAUCCAGCCAUGCCGCGUGCGUGAUGAAGGCCUUCGGGUUGUAAACCGCUUUUGUUCGGGAAGAACAUCUCUGGACUAAUCCCCCGAGGGGAUGACGGUACCGAAAGAGAAAGCACCGGCUAACUACGUG
RNAcentral lists this ribosomal RNA (484 nucleotides) under uncultured bacterium. RNAcentral's name for it is "partial 16S ribosomal RNA". It matches the Rfam family "Bacterial small subunit ribosomal RNA", at positions 29 to 507 of the family's 1533-position model. The record is from RNAcentral.